AUUCUCCAGCAGUACAUACACUAAGAUUGGAACGAUACAGAGUAGAUUAACAUGGCCCCUUGCGCAAGGAUGACACGCAAAUCCGUGAAGCAUUCAUAGAUGUG
This is a small nuclear RNA of Petromyzon marinus (sea lamprey), 104 nucleotides long. Lineage: Eukaryota; Metazoa; Chordata; Hyperoartia; Petromyzontiformes; Petromyzontidae. The record is from Ensembl.